This is a long non-coding RNA of Cyprinodon tularosa, 968 nucleotides long. RefSeq lists it as uncharacterized. The record is from RefSeq and is a predicted model, not a curated record. Lineage: Eukaryota; Metazoa; Chordata; Actinopteri; Cyprinodontiformes; Cyprinodontidae. The transcript has 3 exons.
AAUUUGCGAAUGUGAAGGGCUUUGGAUUGGUUAGUUAGAUAACUCCGCCUACUGUUUCUCCUGUUUUGAAGUUAAUCUAUCUUAAGAUAGAGCCAAAGUGGAAGAGAGAUCCUUAGCGACACAUUUGCUCAUUUCUAUUUUUGUUCAACCAAUUCAGAUUUGAUCAUGGAUUUCAAGAAAAAAUGGCUGUCUGAGGUGAAAAACAUCCUAAAAACCAGCCCACUGGCAGCUACUGUGGGUUUUGGAUUAAUUCAGUUAAUAUUGGAGAAAUUAAUAGAACUAGAGUUUGCAUGUCCUUGCGAUCCUAAAUACAACUGGGUGUAUACGUCACCCUUCUUUAUUGUGCCCUCAUUAAUAGUCUUCUUGCUAAUGUGUGUCGCUAAAUUUCCAUGUGAUCUUCAAUGCAAAUCCUUCUUUGAGGCCCUGAGUAGCGUCGUCGUUUCGGCUACAAUAUGGGCAGUUAUAGUGUUCAUUGAUGGUCGUUACUGGGCAUGUCUCAAGACAAAUUGGUCAGGAAAGUAUGAAAUGAUUGAUAAUGCUGCACCUCAGAAAUGGUGUAAACCAGCCAACUCAUCUCAGGUGUUACUGAACAAAACCCAGUUAUGGUAUUCCCAAUCGCAAUACAUUGGACUCUUGACAGCGUUGGGGUUGGUUGUUUUUUAUCUCAUAUGUUAUCUCAUCGCCUUGAAAUGUGCUGAAGAAGAAAAUGAAACUUCAAGAAAUGAAGAGUAUAGGCAGGUCAAUGCUGUUCUCUAGACUGAACCAACGAUCUGUGACAAAAUGAGAAAAAUAAUUGUACAUAUUGGUUUAUGCAUUAAAAUAAUGGAUGUUAGGGCAUGUUUGGUUAUAAAGUCUUAUUUUAGUUAUAUUCUAAAGAUGUUAUACAUAAAAAAUGCUAUAAAUAAAAAUUUGCUAUUUUCACAAGCAUUAUAUUUGAUAUCUAGCCAUUUUAGGAUCAACUGUAUUUU